AGAGUUUGAUCCUGGCUCAGAACGAACGCUGGCGGCAGGCUUAACACAUGCAAGUCGAGCGCCUCGCAAGAGGAGCGGCAGACGGGUGAGUAACACGUGGGAAUCUACCCAUCCUUACGGAACAACUCCGGGAAACUGGAGCUAAUACCGUAUACGCCCUUCGGGGGAAAGAUUUAUCGAGGAUGGAUGAGCCCGCGUUGGAUUAGCUAGUUGGUGGGGUAAAGGCCUACCAAGGCGACGAUCCAUAGCUGGUCUGAGAGGAUGAUCGGCCACAUUGGGACUGAGACACGGCCCAAACUCCUACGGGAGGCAGCAGUGGGGAAUAUUGGACAAUGGGCGCAAGCCUGAUCCAGCCAUGCCGCGUGAGUGAUGAAGGCCCUAGGGUUGUAAAGCUCUUUCU
RNAcentral lists this ribosomal RNA (400 nucleotides) under uncultured soil bacterium. RNAcentral's name for it is "bacterial SSU rRNA". It matches the Rfam family "Bacterial small subunit ribosomal RNA", at positions 8 to 438 of the family's 1533-position model. The record is from RNAcentral.